CGGGGUGAGUAACGCGUGGGUAACCUGCCUCAUACGGGGGGAUAACGGUUGGAAACGGCUGCUAAUACCGCAUAAGCGCACAGUACCGCAUGAUUCAGUGUGAAAAGCCCUGGCAGUAUAGGAUGGUCCCGCGUCUGAUUAGCUGGUUGGUGAGGUAACGGCUCACCAAGGCGACGAUCAGUAGCCGGCUUGAGAGAGUGAACGGCCACAUUGGGACUGAGACACGGCCCAA
This 232-nucleotide ribosomal RNA is filed under the name uncultured bacterium. RNAcentral describes it as "partial 16S ribosomal RNA". It matches the Rfam family "Bacterial small subunit ribosomal RNA", at positions 104 to 334 of the family's 1533-position model. The record is from RNAcentral.